Molecule: long non-coding RNA, 488 nt
Organism: Rhagoletis zephyria (snowberry fruit fly)
Lineage: Eukaryota; Metazoa; Arthropoda; Insecta; Diptera; Tephritidae
Source: RefSeq, a predicted model, not a curated record
GGUAUCUGUUGUGUACCUAAAAAAAAAAAACGUGCACGUGCUUUGGAAAACAUCAACCCUGUGGUGUGGGGAGAUGAAACGAUUACAGCGGCAAUGUAAGAAAAUUUGACAUAAAUAAACGGCUGUGAAAGAAAAAAACAAAUAUGCCGAGGCAAUGUGUUUGCAAGUGCACCUCCGAGGGAGCUUCUCUUCACAAAUUUCCUUCGGAUAGAGAAAUAUCCAGGCUUUCGGGCUUUCGGACGGGAACGGCGCGUGUUUAAGCAAAUUUUUUCAAUAAAUAGAAUUUAGGUAUUCACACCUGCCUGAUUUUCGGUAAUCUAGUUGUGUAGUUUUAUUUUUAUUCAGUUGAUGACAAUCAAAUAACCUGAACAAAAAAUUAUUUACAACUAGUUAACCUUAUUACCGGGAUGGUAUGAUUAUCUUCAAUAUCUUGUAAGAAAAUGUUGUUUAUAUUAAUAUAUGUAAUAAACGUUUCAUGACGAUUCAGA